RNAcentral lists this transfer RNA (60 nucleotides) under Austropallene cornigera. RNAcentral describes it as "tRNA-Gln". The record is from RNAcentral. Lineage: Eukaryota; Metazoa; Arthropoda; Pycnogonida; Pantopoda; Callipallenidae. RNAcentral also lists the same sequence under 2 other names.
GUUCUAAUGGUGUAUUUGCAUUUUUUAUUUUGAUUAAAAAGGUCUUUUUAGGUUAGAAUA